CAGACGGGAGGAGAGGCCUUACAGCGCCCUAAUGUGUCCCCACAGCCAUAUCAAGAACAGGAGGAGAACCUCAUCCUGACAUGAGCAAAGUCGAAGGUCUGAUUCUUUUAGACCGGAUUAGGGGGAGAGACCCUGGCGAUGGCCCUUAUGUGCCCCCGCGGGAAUGAGAGGAGAAUCUCAUCCUGAUGGUGAUGAAGCCUGACCGCCCA
RNAcentral lists this long non-coding RNA (209 nucleotides) under Elaeis guineensis (African oil palm). Its description in RNAcentral is "long non-coding RNA (EGUI_LNC002427)". The record is from RNAcentral. Lineage: Eukaryota; Viridiplantae; Streptophyta; Magnoliopsida; Arecales; Arecaceae.